GAGGGUAUAGCUCAGUGGCAGAGUGCUUGCUCAGGAUGCAUGAGGUCCUGGGUUCAAUCCUCAGUUCUUCCA
Molecule: transfer RNA, 72 nt
Filed under: Camelus bactrianus (Bactrian camel)
Lineage: Eukaryota; Metazoa; Chordata; Mammalia; Artiodactyla; Camelidae
Also listed under: 2 other names
Rfam family: tRNA
About the family: Transfer RNA (tRNA) molecules are approximately 80 nucleotides in length.
Source: Rfam by way of RNAcentral